AUGAACGCUGGCGGCGUGCCUAAUACCUGCAAGUCGAGCGAACGGACGAGAAGCUUGCUUUUCUGAUGUUAGCGGCGGACGGGUGAGUAACCCGUGGAUAACCUACCUAUAAGACUGGGAUAACUUCGGGAAACCGGAGCUAAUACCGGAUAAUAUUUUGAACCGCAUGGUUCAAAAGUGAAAGACGGUCUUGCUGUCACUUAUAGAUGGAUCCGCGCUGCAUUAGCUAGUUGGUAAGGUAACGGCUUACCAAGGCAACGAUGCAUAGCCGACCUGAGAGGGUGAUCGGCCACACUGGAACUGAGACACGGUCCAGACUCCUACGGGAGGCAGCAGUAGGGAAUCUUCCGCAAUGGGCGAAAGCCUGACGGAGCAACGCCGCGUGAGUGAUGAAGGUCUUCGGAUCGUAAAACUCUGUUAUUAGGGAAGAACAUAUGUGUAAGUAACUGUGCACAUCUUGACGGUACCUAAUCAGAAAGCCACGGCUAACUACGUG
RNAcentral lists this ribosomal RNA (496 nucleotides) under uncultured bacterium. RNAcentral's name for it is "partial 16S ribosomal RNA". It matches the Rfam family "Bacterial small subunit ribosomal RNA", at positions 29 to 507 of the family's 1533-position model. The record is from RNAcentral.